RNAcentral lists this ribosomal RNA (398 nucleotides) under uncultured bacterium. RNAcentral describes it as "partial 16S ribosomal RNA". It matches the Rfam family "Bacterial small subunit ribosomal RNA", at positions 523 to 918 of the family's 1533-position model. The record is from RNAcentral.
AUACGUAGGGUGCGAGCGUUGUCCGGAAUUACUGGGCGUAAAGAGCUCGUAGGUGGUUUGUCGCGUCGUCUGUGAAAUUCCGGGGCUUAACUCCGGGCGUGCAGGCGAUACGGGCAUAACUUGAGUACUGUAGGGGAGACUGGAAUUCCUGGUGUAGCGGCGAAAUGCGCAGAUAUCAGGAGGAACCCCGGUGGCGAAGGCGGGUCUCUGGGCAGUAACUGACGCUGAGGAGCGAAAGCAUGGGUAGCGAACAGGAUUAGAUACCCUGGUAGUCCAUGCCGUAAACGGUGGGCGCUAGGUGUAGGGGUCUUCCACGACUUCUGUGCCGUAGCUAACGCAUUAAGCGCCCCGCCUGGGGAGUACGGCCGCAAGGCUAAAACUCAAAUGAAUUGACGGGG